AGCGAACGCUGGCGGCGUGCUUAACACAUGCAAGUCGAGCGAGAAAGGGGGCUUCGGCCCCUGAGUACAGCGGCGAACGGGUGCGUAAUGCAUGAGCAAUCUACCCUUGAGGCGGGAAUAACCCAGCGAAAGUUGGGCUAAUACCGGAUAAGACCACAAGAGGAGACCCUAGAGGCUAAAGGCAGCUCUCUUUUGGGGGCGGCCCUUUGAGGAGGAGCUCAUGUCCAUCAGCUAGUUGGUAGGUAACGGCCUACCAAGGCGAAGACGGGUAGCUGGUCUUAGNGGAUGAUCAGCCACACGGGGACUGGAGACACGGCCCCGACUCCUACGGGAGGCAGCAGUGGGGAAUAGUUGGGCAAGUGGGGAAACCCUGACCCAGCGACGCCGCGUGGGUGAUGAAGGCC
Molecule: ribosomal RNA, 404 nt
Filed under: uncultured bacterium
Lineage: Bacteria
Description: bacterial SSU rRNA
Rfam family: Bacterial small subunit ribosomal RNA
Source: RNAcentral